RNAcentral lists this ribosomal RNA (253 nucleotides) under uncultured bacterium. RNAcentral's name for it is "partial 16S ribosomal RNA". It matches the Rfam family "Bacterial small subunit ribosomal RNA", at positions 524 to 776 of the family's 1533-position model. The record is from RNAcentral.
UACGUAGGGGGCAAGCGUUGUCCGGAAUCAUUGGGCGUAAAGCGCGUGUAGGCGGCCCGAUAAGUCCGCUGUGAAAGUCCAGGGCUCAACCCUGGGAUGCCGGUGGAUACUGUCGGGCUCGAGUCCGGAAGAGGCGAGUGGAAUUCCUGGUGUAGCGGUGAAAUGCGCAGAUAUCAGGAGGAACACCAAUGGCGAAGGCCGCUCGCUGGGACGUGACUGACGCUGAGACGCGAAAGCGUGGGGAGCAAACAGG